CACGAGACCAAUCGAAGAGUUGACUGUACUUGUUGACUUGAAUACUAAACAAGUGGUGGAGAUUUCAGAUAAGGGCAGCAGCAUACCGAUCCAAAAGCCGUAGCCCAGAACCUCAUGAUGAACUGAGACUGCAUAAAAAGGGCUGUAAGUAUAAAUUACUUACUGAGGGUAGCACUGGAUUUCAAUAAUGUUGUGUUUAUGUUUUAUUUUAAUUGGAUGCGUGUGAUUGAUUAUUGCAUACUGUUAAUAAUCAACCUAUUAAUAUUGGGCGCAACGUCUCCCAAAGGUUCAGGAUGGUAAAUGUGCCUGAAACCGGAAACAAUAAUAAUCACAUUGAUUGGAACGGCUUUCAAAGUACUAGAGGAGGGAGGUCUCCGAUAGUGCGAAAACAAGUUAAUUAAAAUGUAAUGUAGAGGGAACGGCCUCGAGAAAGACGCUGACCGGGGGAACGGCCCUUACAAGAGAGGAGUGCAAUCACUAUAUAAACUGUUAAACUUUGCAUAAAAACUAUCACCACAUCAUUAUGUCAUAUCUGUGCCUUAAAUAAUGCAUAAACCAUGAUGUUGUUGAAUGACAGUUAGCUCACUUAUGGAACUAUGGGAUUGUGGCGGUAACCACCUUCUCAUAGAUGUUUGCGCAGGUACUGAAGAUUAUGGAUUGGAUUAACUGCUAGCUUAAGAGAUUUAAAGCUGUGUAGUUAGGAUUUUAGUACUUUGUACUCGUAGAUAUUUGUACCAUUUGCUUGUAAUAUGACUAGACAUUUACUUGUAAUUAAUAAGUUCCAUGCAUGCUUUAGUGUCACAUGUGACAUAUGUUUCUUUGUAAAUAGUGUAAAGACUUUUAACGUAUUUUCUAGAAGAUGUCAGUUAAAGCUCUGAAUAUAUCGUAAGGGAAUUGUCCCUAUCGGUGAUGUUUAAAAAAAAAGGAUAUUCGUAUUUUUCCGCUGCCAGAUUUAUCAACUCUGAAUGGUUAAUGACACGUAAUUAUCCAGAUAUAAUUACUUA
Molecule: long non-coding RNA, 1004 nt
Organism: Alnus glutinosa
Lineage: Eukaryota; Viridiplantae; Streptophyta; Magnoliopsida; Fagales; Betulaceae
Exons: 2
Source: RefSeq, a predicted model, not a curated record